This 1071-nucleotide long non-coding RNA is filed under the name Equus caballus (horse). RNAcentral describes it as "lncRNA (ENSECAG00000052669.1)". Lineage: Eukaryota; Metazoa; Chordata; Mammalia; Perissodactyla; Equidae. The record is from RNAcentral.
CUGGGCAUCUUGGCCGUCUUUGAGUCUAAGGUGCCCCUGGAAAGGCAUUACCUUGAGAUGGGGAGCACGUGUCACCAAAGGGCACUGUGCCGGGCAGCAGGAGAUCUGGGUUCUGAGCUGGCCAUUAUGCAGCUGCACCUCCUGGAGCAUCCUCUGUGGACAGGCUUGAGCUGCAGAUGUCUCUCAAGCCUUUUUCUGAGCUUGCUUCGGGGUAUUAACUUGACCAUCUCAGCUGCUGUCAGAACUAUCCCUGCUGGCCUGGCAAUGAGACACAGGAUAGAUGCUUUGUGAGGACUGGGAUGGUGGGAGGAAGACAGGGGAAGACCCCUUCCUGCAGGAUGUUGACACAGGCACAGAGCUACGGACACAGGCAACAUAAACUACUGUAUUGGCCUCAGCACCUGGAUUCCUUUUUGAUGGCAAAACCAAUUCCAACAGGCCGGAAACUCCUCUGUCUGCAUGUGGGCAGUUACAGAGGACCGGAUUUGGAGUGCAGCUGACAGGAGGGGAACGAGAUCAGGAAUGGCUUGAGACAAGAUGAUCACCGGUGAUGAAUUGAAAUGGCAAGCAAUAGGAUAUAUUGGAGUAUAUGAGGAAGCCAUUUGGUAUAAACCUAAUUCGGCCUGACUUUGUUUUUUCCAAAAGGGCCUGACUGUGGCCAUUAAGCAUGCAUUGUAUACCUGCUUAGACAUUUCCUAUGACAAGAACAAAGGCCCUUGAGAUAAAGGUGCAACUUCCCUCCCCCUCACAACGUUGGCAUCUCCUUAAAGAUUAAGCAUCUUUCCUUAGGCUAGGAACCGAUUGCAGCGCUCACCUGUGACCACCCAGCUCGAGGCAACAGACCUGCCACCCUGCUGUGUUCACCGAGACAGCAGACCUAUCUGCUGUUUCCAUCAAUCACUGUGCCAGCCUCGUAACUAUUGUAAAAGGGACAUUUCAAUCACAUGUGAAACAUCCUCUUUGAGGGUUAUAACCACCCUGUAUAGCCUCACUUCUUUGGAGUGCUCUGUUCCUUUGUGGAAAGACUCUCCUGGGUUAUAAUCCUCACAUUUUAGCUCAGAAUAAACUCAC